AAAAGUCGGUGUGGCAAAACAAAAACUAGAGGAAAGACAGUAAAGAUAAACAGCAUACGAUAUUUUUUGAUUGAUUUGAAGCAAGUAUGAAACUAGUAUGAUUAGCUAUUAUAUUUGAAAAGCCAUGCUUUCUUGAAUUUAGUAUUUGUUUUAUUUUUGGAUAGCUUAUUUAUUUAUUUCAAUUUAUUUUAAAUUUUUUUUUUCCUUUGAAUUUAUUAUUUCAUUCAGUUUAAUUUAUCUUCUUGUCAAACCAAUCGACAAUGUUGAAUCAUUCCAGCCAGUUUUAACUCGUAUCUUUUCAAUCCAUUGCAAAUGUCUCAAUUUCUAAUCGUUUCCAUCUCUAUCAUGUUAUAAAAAUUUUGUUGUCUUGUUGACCUCGUACGUACUCAUACUCAUUUUUUCGUACGUAUUCUCUCUCCUCGUACGCAGAUUCUGUUCGUACGCUCAUUCAUUAUUCAUUUCACCAAUUUUGCCUCUUAACUGUCUGCUCUUACUACUACUGCCUCAUGUUUUCUCUCUUCCUCUCUUCACUCUCUUUGGUUUGCUUCGGCACUUAGUACCACACUCGACUUGAAUCUUCGCCUCCCCCCACCUUGGCCUGUCUAAAUUUUCGUGGUCUUCAAUUAAGUCUUACUAGUGUUGCAAACCUAUGUCCCGCUUUACUGCACCCCACAUGCAUGCUGGUAGAGUGGAAAUCGCGUUGUAGGUGCCAGGUGGUAACUUUAUUUAUCAUGUUGGAAAUUUUGUACGAUUCAGAAAUGUAGCAUUUUGUUAUGAAUUUAAAACACCUAGUUCUGUGUGUCAAAGUACAGUGCUAAACGAUGGAUGCUAGGACAGCACUAACAUAAUAUGCCUCGACCUACCUACCUACUUACUAACAAGUUCUAUGUGGCCUACAAUUAUUAGUUGGAGAAACUUUUCAUUACUGUUUUGUUUGUUCUCAUAGACGUUGCUUAGUCGGCCGCGUUUAUGUUUUUUUCGGUGUUUUUGUUUAACAUCAUUUCCUUCUCGAUGCUAGCUGCUUGCUCACCAUUGUUUACUUUGUGUACUCUUUUUUUUUUCUUUUGUUGUCUGUGACCUCACUGAGCAAGCAUACUUUGUCAGCUCGAAAAUUUCACCAUGUUUUCUUGCUACAAAUUUUUUCUGCUAGGGUAGGGUAUAGGCUAUUGAAACUGAUAGUUGAAUAACAAAUGUCCUAGACCAAAAGGAAAAACUUGUAACGCUUUACCAAUCAUCCCGCCAAUCAAAACAUUGUCGAUCCAAUCUUGGCACAUGAACUUUAGCUAACCUGGUGUUUGUGUUUUUUUCAACAAGUCGUCUUUACACAUCAACUACCUUUUCUCAUUGUGUUCUUUUAUCAUGUUCAUAUCUCACAAUAUCCAACACUGACAAUCGACAAACAAUCAUCAAACACAAAUAAUCCAGUAUAUGUUAGCGCCAUUCUAGUUUUUCUUCCAAGUUUUGGGAAUAUUUUUCAUUUGCCUCGACACUACUUUGGCUCGACAUUGUUUUGUCUCGAUAUCUUAAAAUCGGCCGUAACUCCUGUUAUAGCACUUUUUCAUUUUUCCUGGUCCAGCUUGAAAAUUUUCCUGCUUCCAGCUUCAAACUUUCAAAUCGGAUUUUCUUUUUUUAAACACAAGCUACAUCCCUUUUCUCCACAUACCGGUCCUAUUUUCCCUGUGUUAAUGUGCGAAAUUACUGGUAUACUGAAUCGCAUUGCGUUGCGUAGCUUUGGCUUCGCAUGGCAGAUAUGCAAUGCAGCCUAUCUUCAACUACGUUUUGCCAUCUCACUUAGCCUAGCCACCAGCGCACCGUAGGUUAGGGUAAGGUAAACUAGGCUAAUCAAAAAGCAUGAAUGCCGACUACUCUGCCAUCGCUAUCGCUAUAGCUAUACGGUAUUUGUAUGCGAGUUAUAGUGGGGUUAGGCAAACUGAAAAUCCAAACAAUCCCUAUCCUCUUCUAGCGCGCACAUUCUCAAUUUUUUUUUUCUUUCAAAAAUACCUACUAGCAUUCCGUAAGAAAUGCAUUUUAUCCAUCGACACAAUUAAGGUUGCUUACUGAACUAUCCGUAUCGACUCCGUUUUUAUGAAGCAGCUGUUAAUUAAUUAAUUAUUUAUUUAUUUAAUUAAAAAACGUAAAUGUCGCAUUCAUAUCAACAAAGCCUAUUUGCUUUCUGUUGUCAUCAUCAUUUUGUGGGUCUCCCUUCCAAUCUUUCCUUAGGUUUCUCGUUAAAUUAGUUUUUAAAUAUUUUUCGAGAAAAUACGCGUUCUUGCGUAAUAGGAUUCGGCAUUUUCAUUUCUUUUGGGUGAUUUAUUUUGUUUUGUUUGUAUUGGCAUUUCUUCAUAAAGACAUGAUAAAAAACAUUCUCUGGAUUUUACACCAACUUCAUAUUCUUACGAAUACAUUUACAUUCUUUCCAAAUCGCAAUUGUUCCUCCUAAUUCUUAAAUUCGCCUUUUUCUUCUUUUACACAGCGACCUUGCAAGUAUUUAGUACAAACUUAACUGUCUUCACAUCACAACGGGCUUCCGGUACUUCACCCUACACUUAAUUCCAAUACUCCAUGUCCGGCCCGAUGAGGCCCGGUAAUUGUUUUAACGUUUUCAAAUGGUCAUUUCGAUAUCGUAUUUUAUCCGGUGCUGUAUACUCAAAUACCGAAGCAUGAUUGCCGUUCUUCGAUCGCCUAUUUAUCUUUAAUAUCUAGUUCAUCUGACAAGACAUUACCAUCGAUUGUGUUUGCAUUGCGUAUGUAAUAGUAGUAAUGUUUUUAAAUGGUUGUUGGCAAAAAUAUCAAGGUACGGGAAUCUGGCGUUUUUUAGUAUAGUUAGCUCGCCCGAUUGACCCUCUUGUAUUACUUAUAUCAGUCCAUCUGUGCCUAUUUACGAUGAAACAUAGCAUGCAGAAAUGCAAAGUUACUUUCUUGAACUAAUUUUAUUAAUUCUUUAUGUAUCCUGAGAGCAAAUUAUAAAGCAGUAGUUUUUUUAGGUGAUUUUUUUUUAACAACCAAAUUAUACAUGAUCAAAGUUCUUGAAUCUUUUGUUUUAAUACAAUAAAGCAAUCCUUUCAUAUUCUUACAACGUCUCUUUCUUUUAAUCAACAUUAGGCUCAAUAAUACGUACGAGUAACUCUUAUAUUAUAUGGUAUAACCAUAUGAAGUGACAUGUUUACUGAACAAUCUUUGCUUAGCAUAUUGGGAAAUCUCAUAUACGCUUUACUAGGAUAUUUUAUAUUACUAUAACUCCUUAUUGAGAUGCAUAACUUAUUAUAUUACGAUUUGUUUUUCCUAUGUACACUCUUAAAUCUAGGUGCUUGCAUGCCAGCCACCAAAGCGAUUUCUUGAGGCCCGCCAUGUAAAUCGGUUUGAAAAAAAAAAAAAAAUGCUACACGGUCCAGUUUGUACAAUGGUGAUCAGUUCACCAGCCAUCAGUUCGAUUUUCAGCGCCUUAAUUC
This 3449-nucleotide long non-coding RNA is filed under the name Schizosaccharomyces pombe (fission yeast). RNAcentral's name for it is "non-coding RNA, possible alternative UTR". The record is from RNAcentral. Lineage: Eukaryota; Fungi; Ascomycota; Schizosaccharomycetes; Schizosaccharomycetales; Schizosaccharomycetaceae.